CUGCUUCUACUUUCUGUAUGGAGCUGGGAGCGUCUGCCUGUUGGACGCCCGAAGAGCGUCAGGUUUGAUCCUUGGUAUGCAGAUGAACAUGACGAAUUACGGCGCCCCACGUGGGCUUACAAGUGGGAUAUCGUUUCCGAGAUGACGAACGAUGUCAAUCUCAUGUACCAAAAGUACAUUGCCGAGUUGGACACGAUUACGCCUGAGCAGGUAAGGAGGUCAUUACUUUAG
Molecule: ribosomal RNA, 231 nt
Filed under: Triticum aestivum (bread wheat)
Lineage: Eukaryota; Viridiplantae; Streptophyta; Magnoliopsida; Poales; Poaceae
Description: partial small subunit ribosomal RNA
Source: RNAcentral